Molecule: non-coding RNA, 67 nt
Organism: Podarcis lilfordi (Lilford's wall lizard)
Lineage: Eukaryota; Metazoa; Chordata; Lepidosauria; Squamata; Lacertidae
Source: the annotation of a GenBank genome assembly
GCCGGGAUGGCUCAAUCAGUAGAGCUUGAGACUCUUAGCGUCGUGGGUUUGAACCCCACACUGAGCA